This 142-nucleotide small nucleolar RNA is filed under the name Carassius auratus (goldfish). The record is from RNAcentral. Lineage: Eukaryota; Metazoa; Chordata; Actinopteri; Cypriniformes; Cyprinidae.
UCUGCACACAGUUAAAGCCUCGCACUGAUGUCGGUGUGAAGGUGUCGGAAGUGUGCUAAAGUGAUUCAGCCGGGAUUUCGCUAACACCAGUAGGGCUUAUGCGUCCUAUGACUGGGGUUUGAUAGCAACCUGAGCUACAUUC